Helianthus annuus (common sunflower) is the source of this 637-nucleotide long non-coding RNA. RefSeq lists it as uncharacterized. The transcript has 2 exons. NCBI's taxonomy places the organism in Eukaryota, Viridiplantae, Streptophyta, Magnoliopsida, Asterales, Asteraceae. The record is from RefSeq and is a predicted model, not a curated record.
ACGGUAAAGAGAGAGGGUGAGAGACUGAGAGUUAGGGGCUAGCCACCAAUUCUUACGGCGGAGACAUGGCGGCGCGCAAGCAGUGACAUCACAAGCUGGUGCGUACACUACCACAACUCGCUGACCACAAGCCGGUGCGUACACGUACUACCACAACCCGCUGACCGGAGGACGAGGUUUCAUCAGUGAUGUCGGUUCCGCGGUACAAACGACGAUGGUUCUAUUCUCAUGGUCCAGGUGGUGUACGAGGGCGACCAGCGGCAGCGAUGAAAACUGGAACUAGGGUUUCGGCCGGUAUCCCACAACUUAUCUGGCUUCAAGAUGAUGUUCCGACGACAUGCAAUGGCCACACAGUUAGGGUUUCGCCGCAAACACAGCGACGACGGCGAUUGUGGUUGAUCUCCCGCAACAUUGGAAGCCGAUCCUGCCAAACCAGCUUAUUGGGUCGAUUUGAUAUAUGGCGGUGUUUGAUGUGGUGUUCUCCGAUGAGGCUCAGGUGGUGACUAUGUCGUUUUGAUUUGGAUGUAUAAUUGAGAAGUAAACUGUUUUAUUAGAAUUUUUUAUGUGUACCGAUGAUUAGUUUGGUUUGACCACUAUCUAUUUAAUAAAAGAUGGACAUGAGGCGAUUUGAAGUAUA